This 497-nucleotide ribosomal RNA is filed under the name uncultured bacterium. Its description in RNAcentral is "partial 16S ribosomal RNA". It matches the Rfam family "Bacterial small subunit ribosomal RNA", at positions 28 to 507 of the family's 1533-position model. The record is from RNAcentral.
GAUGAACGCUGGCGGCGUGCCUAAUACAUGCAAGUCGAGCGAACGGACGAGAAGCUUGCUUUUCUGAUGUUAGCGGCGGACGGGUGAGUAACACGUGUAUAACCUACCUAUAAGACUUGGCUAACUUUGGGGAACGGGAGCUAAUACCGGAUAAUAUUUUGAACAGGAUGGUUCAAACGUGAAAGACGGUCUUGCUGUCACUUAAAGAUUGAUCCGCGCUGCAUUAUCUAGUGGGUAAGGUAACGGCUUACCAAGGCAACGAUGCAUAGCCGACCUGAGAGGGUGAUCGCCUAGCCUGGCACUGAGACACGGCCCCGACUCCUACGCGAGGCAGCAGUACGGAAUCUUCCGCGAGGCACGAAAGCCUAACGUUGCAACACCGCGUGAGUGAUGAAGGUCUUCUGCUCGUAAAACUAUGUUAUCAGGAAAGAACAAAUGCGUAAGUACCUGUGCACAUAUUGACGGUACCUAAUCAGAAAGCCACGGCUAACUACGUG